Molecule: ribosomal RNA, 462 nt
Filed under: uncultured bacterium
Lineage: Bacteria
Description: bacterial SSU rRNA
Rfam family: Bacterial small subunit ribosomal RNA
Source: RNAcentral
CCUACGGGUGGCUGCAGUCGAGGAUCUUCGGCAAUGGGGGAAACCCUGACCGAGCGACGCCGCGUGUGGGAUGAAGGCCCUCGGGUUGUAAACCACUGUCAACGGGGAGGAAAUGCAGGAGGGUUCUCCCUCCUGUUUGACCUAUCUGUGGAGGAAGUACGGGCUAAGUUCGUGCCAGCAGCCGCGGUAAGACGAACCGUACAAACGUUACUCGGAAUUACUGGGCUUAAAGGGUGCGUAGGCUGCGCGGAAAGUUGGGUGUGAAAGCCCUCAGCUCAACUGAGGAAUUGCACUCAAAACUACCGUGCUCGAGGGAGACAGAGGUAAGCGGAACUCAAGGUGGAGCGGUGAAAUGCGUUGAUAUCUUGAGGAACACCGGUGGCGAAGGCGGCUUACUGGGUCUUUUCUGACGCUGAGGCACGAAAGCUAAGGUAGCAAACGGGAUUAGAUACCCUUGUAGUC